CCUGCAGUAGGUAUCAGCAAGUUCUUCUAUACAGAACAAUAUGGAACUCGAGUUACACUUCAUUGCAGAAUAACACCAGAUCCUAACUAUCCUGAUGUAUACGUUUUCUGGAGAAAGAACAUCUCUGGUAUCAUGGUUUCAAUUAAAAAGGGACAAGGAAAGGAGGGCAUGACUAAGGAAAAUCCUUCACUUAUUAUUAAUUAUGCAAAGUUUGAGGAUUCUGGUCAGUAUGUCUGCUAUGGUACAGAUGAAAUUUCGAAUGCUAGCAGUCCAACUAUCAGGCUUACAAUAUUUGGAGAUCCAGUUAUCGAUGUCGACAAAGACAGGUACGAGGUAAACUACGGUCUUUCUGUUACGCUGAGGGUAAGCAUUCAAUCCAAUGUGGAAAACCCUGUUCGGAAAGUAUUCUGGAAGCUUAACAACAACGGGGUUAUUACGACGAUUGACUUUGAAACUAAAAGGAUAUCAGGAAAUAGCAUUGAAAAUCCAUCUCUUACCAUCCAGACUGUAACUACAUCUGAAGCUGGAAAUUUUACAUGUUUUGCUACUCAUGAUAUGGGAAAUGCAACAAGUAAAGCUAUUGGUGUACAGGUAUUUGGAGAUUUACCAACCGUUCCAGUUGAAAUGAAAAAGUAUGAAUCUGUAUAUGGUGAAGAUGUUACAUUGAAUUGUAUUGUAAUUGCGGAUCCUCCUAUCAUUGAUGUUUAUUGGGAAAGAGUCCAAAAUGGCAAUCAUAAACCGAAAUUCAGUUGGCUAUCAGGGUAUAUCACCUACCAAUCCGUCUUUGACUAUCAUUUAUAAUACCAAAACCCACAUCGGAACAUACAGAUGCUUCGCCACAAAUGUGGUUGGAACAACUGUUAGUGGAUCUACAACAUUAAAUGUUAUAGGCGAUAAACCAACUGUUACAACCACAUCAUCGGUUUUGAAUGCAAACUACGGCGAUGCGGUCACGCUUGAAUGCAUUGUUAACGCAUUUCCGCAUCCUACGAAAAUUUACUGGAUAAAAAGAAACAACGACCAUUCUCCAUUAGUAUUAAUAAAUAAGGAAUUUCCUGGAAUAUCCGGAAGUUCUAUGGAGACACCCUCAUUAACGAUAAAGUAUGCUACCCCUGCAAAUAAAGGAUAUUAUAGUUGUUUUGUUGAAAACACAGCUGGAGUCACUGAAAGUAAACCUGUCAACCUUAUAGUGCUGGCAGCUCUCCCAGACGUAAGUGUCCCCCUUCAACCCUCAAAAGUAGGAACAGGUUUUGAAGUUAUACUUAAAUGCAGUAUACAGGCCGUACCACCAGCACUAGAAGUGUAUUGGCAGAGAAAUACAAAUGACUAUCACACAAUUAUAAAAGAAAGCUCAUUAAACAUAGACGGAUCGAUAGUCGGCGAUCCGUCAUUGACAAUUCAAAAGCCGUCAGUAUCGAUGUCUGGAGAAUAUGCGUGUAUUGCGAGAAAUUCUGUAGGCACAGCUAGAAGUCUACUUACGGUUU
Long non-coding RNA from Mytilus californianus (California mussel), 1484 nucleotides. RefSeq lists it as uncharacterized. The transcript has 5 exons. The record is from RefSeq and is a predicted model, not a curated record. NCBI's taxonomy places the organism in Eukaryota, Metazoa, Mollusca, Bivalvia, Mytilida, Mytilidae.